CAGCCGCCGCGGGAAUACGAAGGGUGCAAGCGUUACUCGGAAUUACUGGGCGUAAAGCGUGCGUAGGUGGUGGUUUAAGUCCGUUGUGAAAGCCCUGGGCUCAACCUGGGAAUUGCAGUGGAUACUGGGUCACUAGAGUGUGGUAGAGGAUAGUGGAAUUUCCGGUGUAGCAGUGAAAUGCGUAGAGAUCGGAAGGAACAUCUGUGGCGAAGGCGACUAUCUGGGCCAACACUGACACUGAGGCACGAAAGCGUGGGGAGCAAACAGGAUUAGAUCCCCCGUAGUCCCUGUCUCUUAUACA
Molecule: ribosomal RNA, 301 nt
Filed under: uncultured bacterium
Lineage: Bacteria
Description: partial 16S ribosomal RNA
Rfam family: Bacterial small subunit ribosomal RNA
Source: RNAcentral